GGUCGCGUAGUGUAGCUGGUCCAACACGUCACCCUGUCACGGUGAAGAUCGCCGGUUCGAAUCCGGUCGCGACCGCCA
Molecule: transfer RNA, 78 nt
Filed under: Candidatus Curtissbacteria bacterium RIFCSPHIGHO2_01_FULL_41_11
Lineage: Bacteria; Candidatus Curtissiibacteriota
Also listed under: 1 other name
Description: tRNA-Asp
Rfam family: tRNA
About the family: Transfer RNA (tRNA) molecules are approximately 80 nucleotides in length. Their secondary structure includes four short double-helical elements and three loops (D, anti-codon, and T loops).
Source: RNAcentral